ACAUUGGUGGUUCAGUUGUAGAAUUCUUGCCUGCCAUGCAGGAAGCCCGGGUUUAAUUCCCAGCCAAUGCC
This 71-nucleotide transfer RNA is filed under the name Lepisosteus oculatus (spotted gar). It matches the Rfam family "tRNA". From Rfam's summary of the family: Transfer RNA (tRNA) molecules are approximately 80 nucleotides in length. Their secondary structure includes four short double-helical elements and three loops (D, anti-codon, and T loops). Further hydrogen bonds mediate the characteristic L-shaped molecular structure. tRNAs have two regions of fundamental functional importance: the anti-codon, which is responsible for specific mRNA codon recognition, and the 3' end, to which the tRNAs corresponding amino acid is attached (by aminoacyl-tRNA synthetases). tRNAs cope with the degeneracy of the genetic code in two manners: having more than one tRNA (with a specific anti-codon) for a particular amino acid; and 'wobble' base-pairing, i.e. permitting non-standard base-pairing at the 3rd anti-codon position. The record is from Rfam by way of RNAcentral. Lineage: Eukaryota; Metazoa; Chordata; Actinopteri; Semionotiformes; Lepisosteidae.